RNAcentral lists this ribosomal RNA (270 nucleotides) under Triticum aestivum (bread wheat). RNAcentral's name for it is "partial small subunit ribosomal RNA". Lineage: Eukaryota; Viridiplantae; Streptophyta; Magnoliopsida; Poales; Poaceae. The record is from RNAcentral.
AUGGAUACACACCCAUCUAUUGUAUGCUAGAACGUGCGUGGGUUGAACAAUCCGGCGAAAAGGAAGGCGGUCAAGGAGUUUCUAGAUUCCACUAAAGCUAGCCUAGUUUGUCUUCAAGAAACCAAGAUGGAUGUAAUAGACUCCUUUGUUGUAAUGCAAUGCAUGGGGCCGUCGUUUGACGGAUUUGCAUACUUGCCAGCGUUGGGGACUCGUGGUGGCAUCCUUUUAGCCUGGAACUCGUUGGUGUGCAAAACCUGCAAAUGGACUUGA